RNAcentral lists this ribosomal RNA (429 nucleotides) under Acidobacteriota bacterium. RNAcentral describes it as "Acidobacteria bacterium partial 16S ribosomal RNA". It matches the Rfam family "Bacterial small subunit ribosomal RNA", at positions 355 to 776 of the family's 1533-position model. The record is from RNAcentral. Lineage: Bacteria; Pseudomonadati; Acidobacteriota.
UGGGGAAUUUUGGACAAUGGGGGAAACCCUGAUCCAGCCAUCCCGCGUGUGCGAUGAAGGCCCUCGGGUUGUAAAGCACUUUUGGCAGGAAAGAAACGUCAUGGGUUAAUACCCCGUGAAACUGACGGUACCUGCAGAAUAAGCACCGGCUAACUACGUGCCAGCAGCCGCGGUAAUACGUAGGGUGCAAGCGUUAAUCGGAAUUACUGGGCGUAAAGCGUGCGCAGGCGGUUCGGAAAGAAAGAUGUGAAAUCCCAGAGCUCAACUUUGGAACUGCAUUUUUAACUACCGGGCUAGAGUGUGUCAGGGGGAGGUGGAAUUCCGCGUGUAGCAGUGAAAUGCGUAGAUAUGCGGAGGAACACCGAUGGCGAAGGCAGCCUCCUGGGAUAACACUGACGCUCAUGCACGAAAGCGUGGGGAGCAAACAGG